UACGGAGGGUGCAAACGUUGCUCGGAAUCAUUGGGCGUAAAGCGCACGUAGGCGGCUCGUUAAGUCGGGUGUGAAAGCCCUGGGCUCAACCCAGGAAGUGCAUUCGAAACUGGCGAGCUUGAAUAUGGAAGAGGGUCGCGGAAUUCCCGGUGUAGAGGUGAAAUUCGUAGAUAUCGGGAGGAACACCGGUGGCGAAGGCGGCGACCUGGGACGAUACUGACGCUGAGGUGCGAAAGCGUGGGGAGCAAACAGG
Molecule: ribosomal RNA, 253 nt
Filed under: uncultured bacterium
Lineage: Bacteria
Description: partial 16S ribosomal RNA
Rfam family: Bacterial small subunit ribosomal RNA
Source: RNAcentral